Molecule: ribosomal RNA, 468 nt
Filed under: uncultured bacterium
Lineage: Bacteria
Description: partial 16S ribosomal RNA
Rfam family: Bacterial small subunit ribosomal RNA
Source: RNAcentral
GACGAACGCCGGCGGCGUGCUUAACACAUGCAAGUCGAACGGAAAGGCCCUGCUUUUGUGGGGUGCUCGAGUGGCGAACGGGUGAGUAACACGUGAGUAACCUGCCCUUGACUUUGGGAUAACUUCAGGAAACUGGGGCUAAUACCGGAUAGGAGCUCCUGCUGCAUGGUGUGGGUUGGAAAGUUUCGGCGGUUGGGGAUGGACUCGCGGCUUAUCAGCUUGUUGGUGGGGUAGUGGCUUACCAAGGCUUUGACGGGUAGCCGGCCUGAGAGGGUGACCGGCCACAUUGGGACUGAGAUACGGCCCAGACUCCUACGGGAGGCAGCAGGGGGGAAUAUUGCACAAUGGGCGGAAGCCAGAUGCAGCAACGCCGCGUGCGGGAUGACGGCCUUCGGGUUGUAAACCGCUUUCGCCUGUGACGAAGCGUGAGUGACGGUAAUGGGUAAAGAAGCACCGGCUAACUACGUG